RNAcentral lists this ribosomal RNA (536 nucleotides) under Zangia roseola. RNAcentral describes it as "partial small subunit ribosomal RNA". It matches the Rfam family "Bacterial small subunit ribosomal RNA", at positions 425 to 962 of the family's 1533-position model. The record is from RNAcentral. Lineage: Eukaryota; Fungi; Basidiomycota; Agaricomycetes; Boletales; Boletaceae.
CUUAAUCUAAAUAUUAAGAUAAGGUAAGAGAAAAUAAUGAUAUUAUCUUACUAUUAGUGUCGUCUAAAUUUGGUGCCAGAAGACUCGGUAAGACCUUAGACGCAAACGUUAAUCGUCAUAAUCAGGCGUAAAGGGUGUGUAGGCUGCUUUAAAAAAUAUAAUAAGUAAUAUAAUUAUUAUAGCAAAAAAAUUAUAUUUUAAUAAAAGCUAGAAUCUAAAAGAGGGUAAGCUAAACAACAUAAUUAACUGGGACUGACAACUUAUAAUAAUGUGGAGUACUAAAGGUUAAAGCUAUUUAUCUACUGAAGAUUGACGCUGAGAAACGAAGGGGAGAAUAAGAAACUUAGAUUAGAGACCUAAUUAUCUCUCUCAGUCAACGAUGAAUGGUAGUUAUUAAAAAUUUUAUAAUUUUAGUAACGAGGUUAACACGAUGACCAUUCCGCCUUGUUAGUAAGACUGCAAAGUUGAAAACAAAAAAAUUAGUCGGUCUUGAAGCAAACGAAGUGAAGCAUGUUAUUUAAUUCGAUAAUCCGCCC